CACGUCCAUCUCAGCUCAGCCGGGGAAAAGGAGACUCUCACAACAAGUAAAGGAGACUCUCACAACAAGUAAUGUUAUCACUCCACACUGAGGAAGUUAUGGAAAACACUAUUACUGAAUGAGGAAAUCAACAACUGUGGUGUUUCAGGGGUGUGUGUGUGUGUGCGCAUGUGUGUGUGUAUGUGUGUGUGUGUGUGUGUGUGUGUGUGUGUGUGUGUGUGUGUGUGUGUGUGUGUGUGUAAAGCCAUGCAGCAAGUCAACUAAACACUCACCUAAUAUUCGUAUUGCUGUGUGCUCCAGUCCUUUCUCUAUCAGGUGAACCAACACAUGUAGUCUACACACACUCUAGACUGGUGCCGUAGUGAGGUCACCCUCCCUCCCUUCUGGGUCUCUUACCUCAAAGAAUCGAAACGUUGUAUUAUCUCAAAUUACCUUGUGCCAGUUGUCGGAGCUCAGAGCUCAGAGCUCUCAAAUAAACACAAGACGAUAUAGCGAGUAUAAGAAAAGCAAUAAACUAGUCUAACAGGAUAUAAUGUUGUAUUUCUCGUCCCUUCAUGAAUAGGC
Molecule: long non-coding RNA, 564 nt
Organism: Oncorhynchus tshawytscha (Chinook salmon)
Lineage: Eukaryota; Metazoa; Chordata; Actinopteri; Salmoniformes; Salmonidae
Source: Ensembl